CCAUCCCUACCCCAUUGCAGGUGCAGGUGGAGACGGAACCCUAGACACUGCUCAUCCCAAUCAGGCCCUUUCCAGGCCUGUCCCAUUCCAAUCGGGCAUCAGAUGUGGCAUUGAUCAUCAUCUACUUAACAAACGAGGCUCCCCUUUCAAUGCACUUGGGUCUCCUCUGGGCCAACCUUGGUUCUGAGAUAGCAGGUGCUGAAAUACUGCUGAAUCCUCAAAGCCAGACUAGCCAGUGCCUGGCACCUGAUGGGAAUAUGAUUUCAACGAACAGCUCACAGAAUCCUCCCCACAAAGCCGAGAAGCAGGAAGCAGCAACCCUCCCAGAUGAAGAAGCGAAGGCUCGGAAAAGCUAAGUAACUUCUCCAAGCUGACGCAGCUCGUGAGAGGAGGGACUGGGAUUCAAAUCCCUGCAGGGGGAGACCAGCAGCCCCGACUUCAGCCGCCAUGCCUCCUGCCUGAGAAGCUAGCUGCGAAGGUUCCAGAAGGAGACUGCCCUCCGGGAACAGAAACAGCGCAUGACUGCGACCUGUCUGCAAAAAUCUUGAUCACUUGUAAAUCCUUCUCCACCUGAUAAGUUAUCACAUUGGCUCAUGAUGUUUUUUUUCAUUCUCACCCUAUGGCGUGGAUGCUGUUACUACCCCAUUUUACAAAGGAGUAAAGUGAGGCCCAGAGAGAACAGUUAAAUCACUUCCCCAGCUUCACUCAACUCAUCUACGGAAGAAAUGUACCACCACUCUGAAGAAUGAAAGAAAGCAAGCUAAAAAGGAGAGAGAGCAUGAAGAAGGAAGACAAAACUGAAGUUAGGUCAUGGAAACCAGAAGAGAUCCUGGGGCCACA
Molecule: long non-coding RNA, 840 nt
Filed under: Homo sapiens (human)
Lineage: Eukaryota; Metazoa; Chordata; Mammalia; Primates; Hominidae
Description: non-protein coding LINC01081:6
Source: RNAcentral